Molecule: ribosomal RNA, 364 nt
Filed under: uncultured bacterium
Lineage: Bacteria
Description: partial 16S ribosomal RNA
Rfam family: Bacterial small subunit ribosomal RNA
Source: RNAcentral
CCUACGGGAGGCAGCAGUGAGGAAUAUUGGUCAAUGGACGCAAGUCUGAACCAGCCAUGCCGCGUGCAGGAAGACGGCUCUAUGAGUUGUAAACUGCUUUAGCAAGAGGGGAAACGCAGAUAAGCGUAUCUGUCUGAUAGUAUCGUACGAGUAAGGAUCGGCUAACUCAGAGCCAGCAGCCGCGGGAAUACGGAGGAUUCAAGCGUUAACCGGAUCUAUUGGGUUUAAAGGGUGCGUAGGCGGUCGGAUAAGUUAGAGGUGAAAUCCCGAGGCUCAACUUCGGUGUUGCCUCGGAAACUGUUCGGCUAGAGUGUAGUUGCGGUAGGCGGAAUGUAUGGUGUAGCGGUGAAAUGCUUAGAGAUCA